ACCAUUUUUUACUCCCCAAAAUCGCACCAGCUCCUCCUCUCACCCACCAUCCCCACUCUCUCUAUACACCAGCCACACCCCCGCCAGGCCCCUUGCGCCCUCGACGAAUCCAAAUCCAGGUUAGAGUCUCUCGCGCGCCGCCGCUCGCCGCCUGCUCCAUCUCCCCCGCGCCUCUCCCUGCUCCUGGAUUUCACCGAUCUGGCAUGCUUUACUGUCCCGUGGCAGUGGGAGCCGCCCCCUUUGUUGCGUCCACAGCUCAUGCCAUGCAUGGCCGAUCCGAUUCCACAGAUCGGGCUUGCCGCAGACGUGUGCCGUUGCUUCCCCGUUCGCUUCUCCCUUUGACACCCCCUCGCUUCGUUCUGCGUAGUUUCGGGGUUUGGCAUCGCCUGUCUAUCCCGUUCAUAUAGCCUUUAGGGUUUCGAGCUCGACCUCCACGCCGGCGUCUCAGUUGCUGCAAGUGGAGGCGGCAAGCUAGAGGCAGCAACUGCAUAACUUGCAAGAAAAACGGUUUUGUGACGUACCGAUGAUUUUCUUGCAAGUUGUGCAGUUGUUGUCUCAAGCUUGUUGCCUCCCUUUGCCAGAACUAUUGAAUGUGAAAGCACAGUUAAGUAAUGCCACAUCCAGAGAAUCCAAAAGGUAUUGUUGAUAUAAAAAGUUGCUAAGCGCCAUGGAACUUUCGGCAGAGUAAAUUGUAUGCCUUUAUGAAAUAACUGAAGUAGAUGUGUUGGCAUGCAAUUGUUUGAUUCAAGAAAUGAUAUAUUAUACAAAAUCACAAGAUGGGAAUUAGUGAGAAACAAUGAUUGUAUGAAAGCAAUUAAGGCAAAUACAAAACCUCUUCAUCUUGUGUUGGCAGGCUAUGAUUAUAUAAUUCUUUACUGUUCUCUACACUUCUCACAUACAAAGUGCUGAUGUCUCAAUGGAGCUAAAUCAGUCCCAGAUCAUGUGAAAUCCUAAUGGCGCAUGUGCUUGAAGGACGAAACAGAACAAGUCAGGGAUUGGUGAUGAACUUGCUGGAACAAGCUUAUGAUGAAACUGAUGAUGGUUUCAACCUUUUUAGGCUUUAGUUAAAGGCUAUAAUAUUCUUUAAAGGUUCAAUAUAAACUAAGAAGGAUUCAUGCAUGACUCACCCUCUUGGAGUAUGGAUUGGAGAAUAUAUUGGCUGCUGAUCUUAAGAUCUUUUCAGUUCAGAGGAUGGGAUUAUGGGAGCUUAGACCAGGUACCUGUGUUUCCUGCUGACCACUGCUGUGUCUUUCCGUAUCUCCUAUCACUUCUGUCUCAGGAUGUUUGUAUUUCAGGGUUCAAAUGAACCUGUGAGGUUUUCGCUUCCUCUAGUAAAAGGGAUUUGCUUGGAGGGCUGCUUUUGGCAUAUGAACCAUCUGUAUUGUGGAUUUGCUUGGAAGUCUGCUUUUGGCAUAUGAACCAUCUGUAUUGUGCUUCAGAAGGUUUCCUUGUAUUGCUCUUAAUGUUCAGACUACCAAGCUGGCUAAGCAGUUCCAGAGUUACAGAAGGGCAUACUCUGGUCCUACAAAAGAUGGCAUAUUCUAUCGAACUAGACCUAUCAAAAGAUGGCUAAGCAAUUCGUUGGAGUGGCUUCAGUUUUAGUUCUAAAAGAGAUGGUAUGAUGAAUGGGAGAAAAAAAUUGGCAUUCCUACCCUAUCUAAGCUGUAAACCUUGGCCUAAUUUUUUGGUUAAAUUUCUCUCAGCUUAUGUAGCAAACAAUGGCAAUUAUCAAAAGUCCAAGUAUGUACAGUCUUGCCCUAUCUAGGUUCUGACAGGCUAUGUGCUGUUUUGCCUUCUCAUGGUGUGAGUCAUGGGAUGCUGAGACAUGACCCAAAUAACUGUUCUUGGUGGGCUGACCUGGGUACAUAAUGAUUAGUCUUAGGGGUGAGGAUUGAUGUAUAUAGGUAUGAAACCCAUUUGGAUUUCAAUUCAAGUGAGCAGUUUCUCCAUUUAUAUGGUAUUCCAUUGGAAUUUCCCUUUAUUGGCUAUGAUAUUGCGUAGAUACACGCGCCAAGUCUUGUGGAAUAUAUAGUAUUUUUGAUACCAACCAUGAAGACUAAAUUCAGAGUUAGGAAUGGACUAUUCAGUCUUCUUAUUACCAUAUGAUCCAGAUUUUGCAGAGAACUUGGUGUGCAGUCGAUCGAGCACACGUGAUUUAAUCAACAAUACAAGUGUAUUUAGUCUUUUCAUAGUGGAUCUAGUGAAAAAAGGUAUUUUGAACCAGUGUGUCUACAGUCUGUACACCGCAUAUCCCUUCUUCCCUCCGAUUAGAAGCCAUGGCCGCGAUCGGAAGGGAGAUGGAUUCAGUGACUUUCCUCUGGGAAAGUCACAGCGUAACUUUCCUACCUCUAUGCACCGUUCAACACAGAUCUAACGGCUGACAAAUAAUCUAACGUAAAGUAUUAUUAUUUUA
Long non-coding RNA from Sorghum bicolor (sorghum), 2413 nucleotides. RefSeq lists it as uncharacterized. The record is from RefSeq and is a predicted model, not a curated record. Lineage: Eukaryota; Viridiplantae; Streptophyta; Magnoliopsida; Poales; Poaceae. The transcript has 4 exons.